Molecule: transfer RNA, 85 nt
Filed under: Oscillibacter valericigenes
Lineage: Bacteria; Bacillati; Bacillota; Clostridia; Eubacteriales; Oscillospiraceae
Also listed under: 3 other names
Description: tRNA-Tyr
Rfam family: tRNA
About the family: Transfer RNA (tRNA) molecules are approximately 80 nucleotides in length.
Source: RNAcentral
GGGGGAAUUCCAGAGCGGUCAAAUGGGGCAGACUGUAAAUCUGUUGUCUACGACUUCGGUGGUUCGAAUCCACCUUCCCCCACCA